Molecule: non-coding RNA, 133 nt
Organism: Merops nubicus (carmine bee-eater)
Lineage: Eukaryota; Metazoa; Chordata; Aves; Coraciiformes; Meropidae
Source: Rfam
GCACCAAAUCUUUCCCAUUCCUUCCUGUGCAGUGUGGGCUUGGGGACACAUGGUGCUUAGAGAACAGCAGAGUGAAUCCAGACAGGUGACUUUUCCUUCACCGAAUACCUGUCUCUACACCUCUGCAACACUU